UGGGAGAAAAAUUUCAUCAGACCAAGAUUUUGACUCUAGGAGAUAAAUCGUCAGACUAGGUCCAUUUUGUUGUGAUCUUAGGAGAAAGAUUCAUCCGACUAAGAUUUGAUUAUAUUAUCUUGGGAGAAAAAUUUCAUCAGACCAAGAUUGUGACUCUAAGAGAUAAAUCGUCAGACUAGGUCCAUUUUGUUUUGAUCUUAGGAGAAAGAUUCAUCCGACUAAGAUUUUAUUAUAUUAUCUUGGGAGAAAAAUUUUAUCGGACCAAGAUUGUAUCGGGAGGGAAAUUCAUCAGAUUAGGACUUUUUAUCCUAAGAGGAAAAUGUAAAGAUCAAUGAUUUGAGAAACUUACCUUCGUAAUUUCUUCUUUUCUUUUCUCCUUCCUUCGCUCUGCUUUGUUCUUGCUUGCUGGGGAUAAUGCCACUGUGGGAGUCUCCUUUCUUCCCCUCCUUCAAAUUCAUUUUUUU
Molecule: long non-coding RNA, 464 nt
Filed under: Nicotiana tabacum (common tobacco)
Lineage: Eukaryota; Viridiplantae; Streptophyta; Magnoliopsida; Solanales; Solanaceae
Description: long non-coding RNA (NTAB_LNC005465)
Source: RNAcentral